Molecule: ribosomal RNA, 484 nt
Filed under: uncultured bacterium
Lineage: Bacteria
Description: partial 16S ribosomal RNA
Rfam family: Bacterial small subunit ribosomal RNA
Source: RNAcentral
AUUGAACGCUGGCGGCAGGCCUAACACAUGCAAGUCGAGCGGAUGAAGGGAGCUUGCUCUUGGAUUCAGCGGCGGACGGGUGAGUAAUGCCUAGGAAUCUGCCUGGUAGUGGGGGAUAACGUCCGGAAACGGGCGCUAAUACCGCAUACGUCCUGAGGGAGAAAGUGGGGGAUCUUCGGACCUCACGCUAUCAGAUGAGCCUAGGUCGGAUUAGCUAGUUGGUGGGGUAAAGGCCUACCAAGGCGACGAUCCGUAACUGGUCUGAGAGGAUGAUCAGUCACACUGGAACUGAGACACGGUCCAGACUCCUACGGGAGGCAGCAGUGGGGAAUUUUGGACAAUGGGCGAAAGCCUGAUCCAGCCAUGCCGCGUGUGUGAAGAAGGUCUUCGGAUUGUAAAGCACUUUAAGUUGGGAAGAAGGGCAGUAAGUUAAUACCUUGCUGUUUUGACGGUACCAACAGAAUAAGCACCGGCUAACUUCGUG